RNAcentral lists this ribosomal RNA (561 nucleotides) under uncultured bacterium. Its description in RNAcentral is "bacterial SSU rRNA". It matches the Rfam family "Bacterial small subunit ribosomal RNA", at positions 338 to 916 of the family's 1533-position model. The record is from RNAcentral.
CCUACGGGAGGCAGCAGUGGGGAAUAUUGGACAAUGGGCGAAAGCCUGAUCCAGCAAUGCCGCGUGAGUGAUGAAGGCCUUCGGGUCGUAAAGCUCUUUUACCAGGGAUGAUAAUGACAGUACCUGGAGAAUAAGCUCCGGCUAACUCCGUGCCAGCAGCCGCGGUAAUACGGAGGGAGCUAGCGUUGUUCGGAAUUACUGGGCGUAAAGAGUACGUAGGCGGUUAUUCAAGUCAGAGGUGAAAGCCCGGGGCUCAACCCCGGAACGGCCUUUGAAACUAGAUAGCUAGAGUCUUGGAGAGGUUAGUGGAAUUCCGAGUGUAGAGGUGAAAUUCGUAGAUAUUCGGAAGAACACCAGUGGCGAAGGCGACUAACUGGACAAGUACUGACGCUGAGGUACGAAAGCGUGGGGAGCAAACAGGAUUAGAUACCCUGGUAGUCCACGCCGUAAACGAUGAUAACUAGUUGUUCGGUCACUUGGUGACUGAGUGACGCAGCUAACGCAUUAAGUUAUCCGCCUGGGGAGUACGGUCGCAAGAUUAAAACUCAAAUGAAUUGACGG